AGACAGCAGGACGGUGGUCAU
Molecule: small nuclear RNA, 21 nt
Filed under: Arabidopsis thaliana (thale cress)
Lineage: Eukaryota; Viridiplantae; Streptophyta; Magnoliopsida; Brassicales; Brassicaceae
Description: snRNA_04254
Source: RNAcentral